Molecule: ribosomal RNA, 440 nt
Filed under: uncultured bacterium
Lineage: Bacteria
Description: partial 16S ribosomal RNA
Rfam family: Bacterial small subunit ribosomal RNA
Source: RNAcentral
CCUACGGGUGGCAGCAGUGGGGAAUAUUGCACAAUGGGGGAAACUCUGAUGCAGCGACGCCGCGUGAGUGAAGAAGUAUUUCGGUACGUAAAGCUCUAUCAGCAGGGAAGAAAAUGACGGUACUUGACUAAGAAGCCCCGACUAACUACGUGCCAGCAGCCGCGGUAAUACGUAGGGGGCAAGCGUUAUCCGGAUUGACUGGGUGGAAGGGGAGCGUAGACGGCAGCGCAAGUCUGAAGUGAAAUCCCAUGGCUUAACCAUGGAACUGCUUUGGAGACUGUGCAGCUAGAGUGCAGGAGAGGUAAGCGGAAUUCCUAGUGUAGCGGUGAAAUGCGUAGAUAUUAGGAGGAACACCAGUGGCGAAGGCGGCUUACUGGACUGUAACUGACGUUGAGGCUCGAAAGCGUGGGGAGCAAACAGGAUUAGAUACCCGAGUAGUC